AGCAGUCGCCACGGGAAUACGGAGGGUGCAAGCGUUAUCCGGAUUUAUUGGGUUUAAAGGGUCCGUAGGCGGAUCUGUAAGUCAGUGGUGAAAUCUCACAGCUUAACUGUGAAACUGCCAUUGAUACUGCAGGUCUUGAGUAAAUUUGAAGUGGCUGGAAUAAGUAGUGUAGCGGUGAAAUGCAUAGAUAUUACUUAGAACACCAAUUGCGAAGGCAGGUCACUAAGAUUUAACUGACGCUGAUGGACGAAAGCGUGGGGAGCGAACAGGAUUAGAUACCCCUGUAGUCCCUGUCUCUUAUAC
RNAcentral lists this ribosomal RNA (303 nucleotides) under uncultured bacterium. RNAcentral's name for it is "partial 16S ribosomal RNA". It matches the Rfam family "Bacterial small subunit ribosomal RNA", at positions 507 to 807 of the family's 1533-position model. The record is from RNAcentral.